AAAUGACUCUCGGCAACGGAUAUCUCGGCUCUCGCAUCGAUGAAGAACGUAGCGAAAUGCGAUACUUGGUGUGAAUUGCAGAAUCCCGUGAACCAUCGAGUUUUUGAACGCAAGUUGCGCCCGAAGCCAUUANGCUGAGGGCACGUCCGCCUGGGUGU
This 158-nucleotide ribosomal RNA is filed under the name Sinningia villosa. Its description in RNAcentral is "5.8S ribosomal RNA". It matches the Rfam family "5.8S ribosomal RNA". Rfam says of the family: 5.8S ribosomal RNA (5.8S rRNA) is a component of the large subunit of the eukaryotic ribosome. It is transcribed by RNA polymerase I as part of the 45S precursor that also contains 18S and 28S rRNA. Lineage: Eukaryota; Viridiplantae; Streptophyta; Magnoliopsida; Lamiales; Gesneriaceae. The record is from RNAcentral.